CUUGUGUUGCCUACCAAAGUUACGGUAUUGCCUCAAUCGAUCGUAGUCGCUUUCGUCUCGUGUCAUCCACAUGACAUGAGAUGGACCUUGAAGCUGUCUCUUUGGACCACUUCGUUAAUGCUUGCGUUGAUGUUGUGGCCCAUUGAGCAUUGCUUGGUAUCUUGGAUACGGAACCUGAUGUGGGCAUGGGUCUCAUGGGAUCCUGUUCUGCCCUCGUUUAGUGUUCUCGCUUCUCUUAAAAUGACCGCCCAGCCCGCAUUGGCUCGUACCAGCGGGUGGGUUAUGUCAAAGAGGAAUGCUACCUGGUUGAUCCCGCCAGUAGUCAUAUGCUUGUCUCAA
RNAcentral lists this unclassified non-coding RNA (339 nucleotides) under Idiopappus quitensis. Its description in RNAcentral is "partial external transcribed spacer". The record is from RNAcentral. Lineage: Eukaryota; Viridiplantae; Streptophyta; Magnoliopsida; Asterales; Asteraceae.